GUAUAUGGCCAUGCCACACUAAACGUACCCAAUCCCGUCUGAUCUCGGAAGCUUAGCAGGGUUGGGCCUGGUUAGUACUUGGAUGGGAGACCACCUAGGAAUAUCAGGUGCUAUAGGCA
This 119-nucleotide ribosomal RNA is filed under the name Pteropus alecto (black flying fox). The record is from RNAcentral. Lineage: Eukaryota; Metazoa; Chordata; Mammalia; Chiroptera; Pteropodidae.